CUGGCUAGAUAGUCUGUGGCUUUAGAAAAAGAGUAUCGGGAACAGACAGGCCGUCGAUCCCACAGUUUGUUCGAAGUUCAUUCAGGAGUCACCAAUCUCUUUACACCCAUCGGCACACCGGGAUUUUUCAGUUCUGAAGGUAUAUCUGUCCAAGUGGCGCUGAGCUACUGAUCCCCCGUGUUUACAUAGGAAGAGCAUAUGAACAGCAAGAAAUUUCCCCAGUACUACACCAUUGCCCUAGCGCGAGGUACCAUCAUUUCCCAACAUGUCUUCACAGUUUUGCGAUUGGGGUAUUUGAACAAUUUCAGUUACCCAUGGCACUACUGUUUGGAGAAGACACCUAUGUAUUUGGGGACAACAAAAAAGUCUCAGCAACUCUUGAGGAGGACACACCAUAACAUCUGAGGUGCUUCCAUACGGCAGUUUACUGUAGACUGGAUAUUGGUCAUAGGAUACUGGUGGACAAAGAUAUCAGUUCUGAUUCUCUGAGUUUCUCAUUUUUCCGAUCUUAAAUGCAGUUCUCCACAUUUUCACAACAAUUUGCAUUAAAAACAACAACACAAAAAACAUUCAUGAAGUUUCACCAGGAUUUUUGCACAAAUUUCUCCUAAUAAACUUAUUUCCAUAUGCAAUUUUGACUAAUAUACACAUUUUCACAAGGCUUU
Podarcis muralis (Common wall lizard) is the source of this 665-nucleotide long non-coding RNA. RefSeq lists it as uncharacterized. NCBI's taxonomy places the organism in Eukaryota, Metazoa, Chordata, Lepidosauria, Squamata, Lacertidae. The record is from RefSeq and is a predicted model, not a curated record.